This is a long non-coding RNA of Mya arenaria, 425 nucleotides long. RefSeq lists it as uncharacterized. The transcript is spliced from 2 exons. The record is from RefSeq and is a predicted model, not a curated record. Lineage: Eukaryota; Metazoa; Mollusca; Bivalvia; Myida; Myidae.
UUAAGUAGAUUAUCGAUUGGAAGAACCGGGUCUCGAUUAAAAAGAAGGAAAUAGGGUGAAUGUUUAGAACUCUCUGAUGUUGAAAAUCUCAUUGCGGCCAAGGUCAUGUUAAGAUGUACAUCCCAUUGUCGGACAUUACCCUCUACUAGUUUUGAUAAAAUGUUAUUGAUAGUUGCAUGAGAUCUUUCAUUUUGACCGUUCGCCUGAGGGUGGUAGGUGGAAGUUUUUACAUGAUCUAUGUUUAAUUCUUUCAGAACGGCCUGGAAAGCACCGCUAGUUACUUCGCUACCAUUGUCGGAGAUUAAACGAAGGGGAGUUGAGUAUCUACAACAGAUUUCUUCUACCAGUGGUUUAGUACUUCGCCGUUGUGUUCCACGUCAACCUUGCUCUUAUCCUGGUCACGGCACCAAACUUUUACGUGUCAC